GUUGGGAAACUAUCCACAGUCAUCCGGGUGAGAGAUGAGGACUGAACUGAGGCAGAAGCAGUGGGGAUUUCACAAGGGAGUCUAAGACCACAGAUGCUGGAGAAGGGCGAUGGGGAGGCUGUGGUUGUUGGUUGGACAUGGGCUACGGGAGGAGAAUGAAGUAUCCACUGGGCUUGCUGAGCUGGGCAUGGGUGAGUUGGGGGGCAGAGGACACAUCCAAUGUGGACAUCCAGGUGGAUGCUCAGGCCUGGGAGUACCCCAGGAGUGCAGCUAUGUGUGUCUCCUGCCCCACAGACAACCAUGAAGGGAUGCUGGUGUACGUCAGCCCAAGGUUAGGUAACCUUGGUGGACCCCUGUAACUGUCUGGCUCUAGGAUUCCUCUUCUGCACAAGAGUGAUGCUACCUCAUGAGCUUGUGGGGACUCUCACAUGCUGAGCUUUUUACAUAAAAAAAUAGCACAGGACUACAUGAGUAUAUUCUCAUUGCAAAAAAUCAAAACAUGGAAAAGCAAAAGUGCAAGUUUCUGUUCUCCAAACUUCCUUACCCCCUCCGCCCCCCACCUGCCCAAUUCCUUCCCUUCCCUUUUUGGGUAUCCAUAUAGACAGUUUCCUUCACAUUUACUUACAGACAUAGACUUAUAUGACAAAUAGUUUUGUUUUUGGU
Molecule: long non-coding RNA, 663 nt
Filed under: Homo sapiens (human)
Lineage: Eukaryota; Metazoa; Chordata; Mammalia; Primates; Hominidae
Description: HSALNT0098826
Source: RNAcentral